Molecule: transfer RNA, 74 nt
Filed under: Candidatus Poribacteria bacterium
Lineage: Bacteria; Candidatus Poribacteria
Description: tRNA-Arg
Rfam family: tRNA
About the family: Transfer RNA (tRNA) molecules are approximately 80 nucleotides in length. Their secondary structure includes four short double-helical elements and three loops (D, anti-codon, and T loops). Further hydrogen bonds mediate the characteristic L-shaped molecular structure. tRNAs have two regions of fundamental functional importance: the anti-codon, which is responsible for specific mRNA codon recognition, and the 3' end, to which the tRNAs corresponding amino acid is attached (by aminoacyl-tRNA synthetases). tRNAs cope with the degeneracy of the genetic code in two manners: having more than one tRNA (with a specific anti-codon) for a particular amino acid; and 'wobble' base-pairing, i.e. permitting non-standard base-pairing at the 3rd anti-codon position.
Source: RNAcentral
GUGCCUGUAGCUCAGUUGGAUAGAGCGUUAGCCUCCGGAGCUAAAGGUCGGGCGUUCGAGUCGCCCCAGGCACG